GAUUUCUGGUUUGGCGCAUUUGGCCCGCCUCGGUUUACGGGGUUGUGUGCCGGUUUGCGCCUUCCAUCCUUCACAUGAACGAUUCUACCCUUCACUGGGUUGGAGUCGCUGAUUGUGAUCUUUUACUUUGAAAAAAUUAGAGUGUUUAAAGCAGGCUUUUGCUAUGAAUACAUUAGCAUGGAAUAAUAAUCUAGGACUUCGGUUCUAUUUUGUUGGUUUCUAUAACUGAAGUAAUGAUUGAUAGGGAUAGUUGGGGGUGCUAGUAUUGGCCGGCCAGAGGUGAAAUUCUUGGAUUCGGUCAAGACUAACUUAUGCGAAAGCAUU
Molecule: ribosomal RNA, 324 nt
Filed under: Cercomonadidae sp.
Lineage: Eukaryota; Cercozoa; Cercomonadida; Cercomonadidae
Description: SSU rRNA
Rfam family: Eukaryotic small subunit ribosomal RNA
Source: RNAcentral